UACGGAGGGUGCAAGCGUUAUCCGGAUUCACUGGGUUUAAAGGGUGCGUAGGUGGGCAGUUAAGUCAGUGGUGAAAUCUCCGGGCUCAACCCGGAAACUGCCAUUGAUACUAUCUGUCUUGAAUAUCGUGGAGGUAAGCGGAAUAUGUCAUGUAGCGGUGAAAUGCUUAGAUAUGACAUAGAACACCCAUUGCGAAGGCAGCUUACUACACGAUCAUUGACGCUGAGGCACGAAAAGCGUGGGGGAGCAAAACAGG
This 256-nucleotide ribosomal RNA is filed under the name uncultured bacterium. RNAcentral describes it as "partial 16S ribosomal RNA". It matches the Rfam family "Bacterial small subunit ribosomal RNA", at positions 524 to 776 of the family's 1533-position model. The record is from RNAcentral.